This is a long non-coding RNA of Tachysurus vachellii, 1049 nucleotides long. RefSeq lists it as uncharacterized. Lineage: Eukaryota; Metazoa; Chordata; Actinopteri; Siluriformes; Bagridae. The transcript has 2 exons. The record is from RefSeq and is a predicted model, not a curated record.
AAUCAAACCUAUUAAUAUUUGCAGCAACACCUUUUUUGUUGCAUGAACAAAACUAGAGUUUAUAUGAAAGUGUUUAGAAAUAAUCCAGAAAUACCAGAAUAAUCAGCUUAUCUCAUGCAUUUAUAGACAGCAACAACAACAAAAAAGACGUCACACCGUCACCUAAGCAGCCUACUGAACCACAGCAGCCCAACAAACCAUCUUCAUUUGGCGUUGGCUUUGAUUUCUAAGGUUCUAGAAGGUAGAAAACGUGGUUUAAUUUUUUUUUUCCCCCUAAAGAAAAGUACAGUACAGUAAGGUAAAGUUGAGCUUUCUGGGCUGACAGACACUCCCAGCAGGACACACCUCCAACAACAGACAGGUAAAGGAAUUCACAAAACACGCGUUUUGCUUGAGCACAAGGCAUUUUAUGAGCGAUUUAGCAGAUUGGGGAUAUGCACAUAAAAUUAUUCACUUACCAAUUUCUAAGAGCAAUCACAGGGAAGAGAGAUUUGAAGUUUAGAAAUGUGCGUCACACCAACACUGGCUCCAGGUCUUCAGGCUGUCAACGUCGCGCAGAUCUCUGAGACGCAGCUGUGUUUUAUCUUUCAGAUUACUGUCGUUAAUCAGUACAACGAGUGAAGGAUUGAGUGGUGUGUGUGUGGGUGUGUGGGUGUGUGUGUGAUCACAGCACAUUGAGCUCUGGCGCUUUUUAAAGGGAUUUAGAGCGACCUCAGGCUCCAGCCCUCCUCCUCCUCCUCCUCCUCCUUCUCUCAAUGGUGCUCCGAGACCUUGGCAAGCUUCCAAAAUCUACAAGAGUUAAUCUUUAAUCCUCAAAUGGAGUAUUUUACUCACACGGCAACGAUUUCCACAGCAACCCUUCCCACAGCAGCCCUUUCCACCAGCUCUGAUAGCCGAACAGCUUGGACACAGCAUCUGAUGGACAAUGAAUAUCAUUAUAAAAAAUGCUUUAAGGACUUCUACAAUGACAGCUAUUAUAUUUCUUGUAAAAAAAAAAACGCUCACAUAGUGCCUAUGUUCCAUGAAUAAAUUUUACAAUGUUUAUAUUA